Molecule: ribosomal RNA, 494 nt
Filed under: uncultured bacterium
Lineage: Bacteria
Description: bacterial SSU rRNA
Rfam family: Bacterial small subunit ribosomal RNA
Source: RNAcentral
AAAGGAAUAGACGGGGGCCCGCACAAGCGGAGGAACAUGUGGUUUAAUUCGAUGAUACGCGAGGAACCUUACCCGGGCUUGAACUGCGACUGACCGGCAUAGAGAUAUGCUUUCCCUUCGGGGCAGUUGUGGAGGUGCUGCAUGGUUGUCGUCAGCUCGUGCCGUGAGGUGUCGGCUUAAGUGCCAUAACGAGCGCAACCCUUGCUGUCAGUUGCCAUCACGUAAUGGUGGGCACUCUGGCGGGACUGCCAUCGCAAGAUGUGAGGAAGGUGGGGAUGACGUCAAAUCAGCACGGCCCUUACGUCCGGGGCUACACACGUGUUACAAUGGGGGGCACAGCGCGCCGCUACCUGGUGACAGGCUGCCAAUCGUGAAAUCCCCUCUCAGUUCGGACUGGAGUCUGCAACCCGACUCCACGAAGCUGGAUUCGCUAGUAAUCGCGCAUCAGCCAUGGCGCGGUGAAUACGUUCCCGGGCCUUGCACACACCGCCCGU